UCUUUCUCCUCUGCCUUGUUCUUCCUGGACACUGAUUCCGAUCCCAAAUCUUCACCCGAAUCGCAUCAAUCCUUGCCCCUUGCCACGCCUGACUCCUUAUAAGUAAUCUCCACCUCCGAAUCUUCCAAUAUUUUUUUCGAAAAAAUUUGGACCUCCCGUGCCCUAGAACACCAUCCCGAUCUCGUCGGAGUCCGCCGCCGGAGAAACUCCUCCGCCGGUCAAAUUCGUCACGACCAGAAGGGGAGCACUAGAACGAGCGCUAGGACCUCCGCCCGAAGCAGAGCACCGCCGGCGACACUCUCCAGCCCUUCGGCAUCACCAACAGAGGAAGCCCCGUCGCUGUACAACGUCACCUAACCAACCGCCGUACGCCUCCGCAUCCAUCCAUCCACUCACCGCCUCCGGAGACCCGCCGGAGACGCGCCACCAUCGCCGCCUGAGCCGCCGGCGUCGUUCUUCUCCAACUCCGGUGAUGCCGCAACCUGUUUCCUUCGAUUGUCCGGAGUGCGAAGCAGGUCGGAAUUAAUCGUUUGAGUGCUUCAACAGCGUUCAAGGCAAGUUUGCACUUUUGAUUUUGCUCAUCCUAUAUUUCUGCUAUGCAUGUGUGGUUUCAUUGCUAUGAUAAAUGUUUGGCUUGAUAUGUGUAUCUCGUGUUGCCAUGUUUUGUUAUCGAUUGUGUUAUGUGAUGGUGUGAUCAACUUGAUAUGGUAGACGCGGGCAUGUGUCGAGUGAUCCAUGAAAGUGGUGAGUGUUUAUAGCCGUAGGCUCGGGAUUAUUAACCAGGUGAAUGUGUCACUGGCAGAGCGCUCUAUUGUCCCUAGAGAAUGCGCCAUUAACAGAGCGCACUUGAGGCGAGGUAUAGUUUUCGGAAUUUAAAUCAGGUGAAUGCGUCCUUGGCAGAGCGCUCUAUUGUUCCUAGAGAAUGCGCCACUGACAGAGCGCACUUGAGACAUACUUCUGAAGUUCUUGUCAUGUUUAUUUAGAAUCUUUGGGUU
Aegilops tauschii subsp. strangulata is the source of this 995-nucleotide long non-coding RNA. RefSeq lists it as uncharacterized. NCBI's taxonomy places the organism in Eukaryota, Viridiplantae, Streptophyta, Magnoliopsida, Poales, Poaceae. The record is from RefSeq and is a predicted model, not a curated record.